AGCACAGCACUUCAUGAACAAGGAAGGCAAGGGCCCAGGAAUGGCUGAAGGGGAAAUGUUCUGAACUCACUUCGGAAUGAUUAUUCUAGUGCCUGAUGGCUGGAGGGGUGGGAGAAUGGAGACUAGAGGCUAGUGAGAGAGAAGAUUCACCCCAUUCCCUACCCCACAUUCGGAAACUGUAAGCAGACUGACAAAGGUUCCCUUGGGUGAAGUCAGAAGAUAAUGU
Molecule: long non-coding RNA, 226 nt
Filed under: Homo sapiens (human)
Lineage: Eukaryota; Metazoa; Chordata; Mammalia; Primates; Hominidae
Description: HSALNT0087702
Source: RNAcentral